AUGCCGGAAGAUCUCACGGAGCGAAACCACACCCGCACCAGAGUCGCCCCCACCACGCACGGGAAAACCUCGCAGGCAACCGGCCGCCUCCUCCUCCGCCGCCGCCGCCGUCGAAGCAUCAGAAGCAGCCAGAGUAAGAUGUCGUUCCGGGCGCGGGAGAUUUACAAGAAGGUGGUGCGCCGCGUGGGCGGGGAGGGGAAGCUGCCGGCGGAGGUGAUGGACACGGUGAAGAACAUACUCCCGAAUAGCAAGGUCGUCAUGGGCCGGGCCAAGCGCGGCAUCUUCGCCGGCCGCCACAUCCAGUUCGGCAACAAGGUCUCCGAGGACGGCGGCAACAAGUCAAGGCGAAACUGGAAGCCGAACGUUCAGGAGAAACGUCUUUUCAGUUAUAUUCAUGACCGACACAUUAGAGUCAAAGUAACCACUCAUGCACUCCGGUGCAUUGACAAAGCUGGCGGGAUCGAUGAAUACCUCCUGAAGACACCUUACAACAAAAUGGAUACUGAGAUGGGAAUAGCCUGGAAGGCAAAGAUUGAGAAGAUGUAUUCAGAGCUAGCUGGGAUGGAAGUUGGCUUCUUCCCUCCCGAGGAAGAGGCUAAGAUAAAGCAGGGUUUCGAGGAGGUUCGAUCGGCCAAGAGAGAGUUCCGCAGCGAAUCAAGAAGGGCUUUGGGUGUGGCAAACCAGAGUCAGCUAGAAGCAACUAAAGCUGAUGAUGACGAAACGACUGAAGUCGUGGAUACAAAUGAAGAGGUGUCUGAUGUCGCAGAGAAGUCUUAG
RNAcentral lists this ribosomal RNA (777 nucleotides) under Triticum aestivum (bread wheat). RNAcentral describes it as "partial small subunit ribosomal RNA". Lineage: Eukaryota; Viridiplantae; Streptophyta; Magnoliopsida; Poales; Poaceae. The record is from RNAcentral.